UACCAGCACCACCAGGGCCCGGGGUUUGGACCGGCUCUCCCAGCCGACGUCGAGCCCAUGCUCUUCACCACGUUGGGUGAAGGCAGUCAGGUUCUCCCCCCUCCAGGAGAAAAUCCAGCUGAUCAGUGUUUUCCCUGCACCCGACAUUAGCUCUUGGGUAACUCGGACGUUUCGGCACCUCGUGCCUUUUCAGAGCCCAGGCGAGCCCUUACUUUCCCAGCUGGGAUAAGCCUCGCUGAAAACACGGGUCGGCUAGUGCAUCGGUGAACAGGGGUGGAAAUAACUGUAGCUGCCCUGUGGGGGGACCGAGUGACACGUAGACCUGGGAGCUGGCCAGGCCCGGGGGGCACCCGCCGGACAUGGCUCUGUGUCCGAGGGGGCUGUUAAUAGGCUCUCGGGGGUCCGGGAUGCCAUGUGAUACACGCAGUCCUCAGUACUGCUCUGUUGAUUCACACGACACGUGCUUGAUUUCUGCCAAAGCCGUCUAGGUGGGCUGGCUGGGCACGAGCCAGCGUGCCCGUUUCCCGGGGCCAUGCGGGGCCGCCUGGUGACGCUGCGGUGGGGUGGUGUCCGGGAGCGCUCCCCUCUCAGCCGGCCUGGCUUUGUCCUCCACAGCGGACAGCACGUUCGACAGCGGCCAGGGGUCCACCGUGUACUCGGACUCCCAGAGCAGCCAGCAGGGCGUGGUCUACAGCUCGCUCCCCGAGGCCCUGCCCGCCGCCGGCCAGGCCGCGUACAGCCCACCCGUGAGCGACGGGCCCUGCCUGCCGCACAGCCUGCCCGCGCUGGGGGCCUACCAGCAGCCCGCUGCGCCUGGCCUGUCAGUGAGCUCCGUCCUGCCCCCCGCCCGCCCCCCGCUGCCCCAGCAGCAUUUCCCAGAACCGGCAAUGACCUUCGCUCCCGUGCCGCCGACGCCCAGCGCCCCCGGGCCAACGGGCCUGGGCCAGCCGGCGCCCCCCAGCCAGCAGGUAAGCGCGGGGUCGCCCCGUCUCACGUCCACCCCGGCCACCUCG
RNAcentral lists this long non-coding RNA (1013 nucleotides) under Dasypus novemcinctus (nine-banded armadillo). RNAcentral describes it as "lncRNA (ENSDNOG00000050755.1)". The record is from RNAcentral. Lineage: Eukaryota; Metazoa; Chordata; Mammalia; Cingulata; Dasypodidae.